UACGUAGGUGGCAAGCGUUAUCCGGAAUUAUUGGGCGUAAAGCGCUCGCAGGCGGUUUCUUAAGUCUGAUGUGAAAGCCCACGGCUCAACCGUGGAGGGUCAUUGGAAACUGGGAAACUUGAGUGCAGAAGAGGAGAGUGGAAUUCCACGUGUAGCGGUGAAAUGCGUAGAGAUGUGGAGGAACACCAGUGGCGAAGGCGACUCUCUGGUCUGUAACUGACGCUGAGGAGCGAAAGCGUGGGGAGCAAACAGG
RNAcentral lists this ribosomal RNA (253 nucleotides) under uncultured bacterium. RNAcentral describes it as "partial 16S ribosomal RNA". It matches the Rfam family "Bacterial small subunit ribosomal RNA", at positions 524 to 776 of the family's 1533-position model. The record is from RNAcentral.